RNAcentral lists this transfer RNA (72 nucleotides) under Bos taurus (domestic cattle). It matches the Rfam family "tRNA". Rfam says of the family: Transfer RNA (tRNA) molecules are approximately 80 nucleotides in length. Their secondary structure includes four short double-helical elements and three loops (D, anti-codon, and T loops). RNAcentral also lists the same sequence under 3 other names. The record is from Rfam by way of RNAcentral. Lineage: Eukaryota; Metazoa; Chordata; Mammalia; Artiodactyla; Bovidae.
UCUUAAAUAGCUCAGUUGGUAAAGAACCUGACUGCAAAGCAGAAGACCCUGGUUUGAUUCCUGGGUCAGGAA